Molecule: long non-coding RNA, 900 nt
Organism: Spinacia oleracea (spinach)
Lineage: Eukaryota; Viridiplantae; Streptophyta; Magnoliopsida; Caryophyllales; Amaranthaceae
Exons: 3
Source: RefSeq, a predicted model, not a curated record
UUUAAUUUCUUCUUCCUUCCUCUUCCAUACGUGUAAGUUGAGGCAUUUUUGAGAGUGACAAAUGUUCAAAUAUUUCUUUCUCUCUUCAUGACUCAUCUAUUUAAAUAAUCCCUAUAAAUAGCUUCUUUUGUUCGGUUAUCUGCAACACCAAAACCAAGCUCAAACAUGAGAUAAAAACUCCAUUGUUAUACAUAUUUAAGCUAACCUUUCUGAUUUCUUUUCUCCAUUAUUUUGGUUCUUCAAUUCAACCAUUAAUUUUGCUACCCAAUUUUGUCUUUCCUCUGUUUGAUCGACCACCGCGGCACUGCCUCCGCUUCCACCACCUUGUGCCGGCGACUUAUUCAUGCCACCCAGCUGCCACCCUUCUCGGCCUCCUCUAAUACGCCGCAUCGUCGAGAUGACGGUGCAGCGCCUUCAGUUGCUUCGAUGCUUUCCUGCUAUAUUGUUUUCAUUUUCAUCUUCUGUCAAAAAGCAAUUCAUAAGGGAAAAGGGGUUGUAAUGUGGGCCUUGUAAUUUUACUAGCAACAAUUAUUAUGGGAGUGGUGGACUAUGAUUUUUAGAGCAAAUACAAAUAUGGGCCAGCAAGUUACGAAUAAAAAGACUAGUUAUCACGUGGAUUAUUAAAUUAAUUAUGGGGCUUAUGGAUGUCGAUAAUUUCGGAUUCAAGGAAAGAGUAUGAACAGUUGAGGUUCGGUUAAGGAGCUAGAGUUGCUCAAGAGAAAAGUUAUUACUGGAGUUGGUAGUUUAUUAUGGAGAUAUCGAGAUGAGAAAUAUUUAUUAUGGAAAUCUUGUUAUUGAGGUUGUUAUAAGAAUAUUGAUUUAUAAUUAUUUUUUGGAAAAGUUGUAUUAUUUCUGGAAUGUUAUUAAGGAUUAUUUUAUUUGUGGGCCCAUACCCACAGG